GGAGAGGUGGCCGAGCGGUUUAAGGCGCUUGAUUCGAAAUCAAGUAUACUCUUUAGUGGGUAUCGGGGGUUCGAAUCCCCCCCUCUCCG
RNAcentral lists this transfer RNA (89 nucleotides) under Cyanobacteria bacterium J149. RNAcentral describes it as "tRNA-Ser". It matches the Rfam family "tRNA". Rfam says of the family: Transfer RNA (tRNA) molecules are approximately 80 nucleotides in length. Lineage: Bacteria; Bacillati; Cyanobacteriota. The record is from RNAcentral.